RNAcentral lists this long non-coding RNA (223 nucleotides) under Elaeis guineensis (African oil palm). RNAcentral's name for it is "long non-coding RNA (EGUI_LNC005945)". The record is from RNAcentral. Lineage: Eukaryota; Viridiplantae; Streptophyta; Magnoliopsida; Arecales; Arecaceae.
AACACAAUAAAAGAGGCUACGACUCUCAAACUCGACUUAAAGUCGACCUGGGUGUUGCAUAUUGAUGGAGCAUCAAAUGCACAAGAUAGUGGAACUGACCUAAUAUUGACGAAUUUCGAAGGCGUAGUCUUCGGAUACGUCCUUCGGUUCAACUUUAAAGCCUCAAAUAAUCAAGCCGAAUAUGAAGCACUUUUGGUCGGCUUGAAGAUAGCCAAAGAGCUCA